GGCCUUGUAGCUCAGCUGGUAGAGCAUAUGCUAUACAAAAGAGUAUGCUGCAUCAAUGCGUGGUUUCGAAUCCCACCGAGGCUG
RNAcentral lists this transfer RNA (84 nucleotides) under Echinostoma caproni. It matches the Rfam family "tRNA". From Rfam's summary of the family: Transfer RNA (tRNA) molecules are approximately 80 nucleotides in length. Their secondary structure includes four short double-helical elements and three loops (D, anti-codon, and T loops). The record is from Rfam by way of RNAcentral. Lineage: Eukaryota; Metazoa; Platyhelminthes; Trematoda; Plagiorchiida; Echinostomatidae.